CCCCAUCUGUCUGGAACAGAAUGCACAAGGUCAGGAGUGUUUGGAAAGCUUAAUUCUGGAGUACACCGAACAUCAAGGCUGAACAAGAUAAUUGCAAAGGAUGAAGUUGUUGAUGAACAAUAUUCCUCUUCUUGUACUUGAGGAAGAAAAAACACAGGGAAAGCCAAGAGCGAUCAUGGGACUACUCUGUUUAGGCAGGUGGCAUUUCCGUAAAUAAAAGAGAAACCAUUUCCAGGCAGGCACCCAUCAGAAAAUUAAAGAACCAGCAACGGGCAGCCAGG
Molecule: non-coding RNA, 281 nt
Organism: Pogona vitticeps (central bearded dragon)
Lineage: Eukaryota; Metazoa; Chordata; Lepidosauria; Squamata; Agamidae
Source: RefSeq, a predicted model, not a curated record